UACGUAGGGGGCAAGCGUUGUCCGGAAUCAUUGGGCGUAAAGCGCGUGUAGGCGGUUCGGUAAGUCUGCUGUGAAAGUCCAGGGCUCAACCCUGGGAUGCCGGUGGAUACUGUCGGACUAGAGUACGGAAGAGGCGAGUGGAAUUCCCGGUGUAGCGGUGAAAUGCGCAGAUAUCGGGAGGAACACCGAUUGCGAAGGCAGCUCGCUGGGACGUCACUGACGCUGAGACGCGAAAGCGUGGGGAGCAAACAGG
RNAcentral lists this ribosomal RNA (253 nucleotides) under uncultured bacterium. RNAcentral describes it as "partial 16S ribosomal RNA". It matches the Rfam family "Bacterial small subunit ribosomal RNA", at positions 524 to 776 of the family's 1533-position model. The record is from RNAcentral.